GAUGAACGCUGGCGGCGUGCCUAAUACAUGCAAGUCGAGCGAACGGACGAGAAGCUUGCUUCUCUGAUGUUAGCGGCGGACGGGUGAGUAACACGUGGAUAACAUACCUCUAAGACUGGGGUAACUUCGGCAAACCGUAGCUAAUACCGGAUAAUAUUUUGCACCGCAUGGUUCAAACGUGAAAGACGGUCUUGCUGUCACUUAUAGAUGGAUCCGCGCUGCAUUAGCUAGUUGGUAAGGUAACGGCUUACCAAGGCAACGAUGCAUAGCCGACCUGAGAGGGUGAUCCGCCACACUGGAAGUGAGACACGUUCCAGACUCCUACGGGAGGCAGCAGUAGGGAAUCUUACGCGAUGGGCGAAAGCCGGACGGAGCGAAGCCGCGUGAGUGAUGAAGGUCUUCGGAUCGGAGAACGCUGUUAUUAGGAGAGAACAUAUGUGCAAGCAACUGUGCACAUAUUGACGGUACCUGAAGAGAAAGCCACGGCUAACUACGUG
This 497-nucleotide ribosomal RNA is filed under the name uncultured bacterium. RNAcentral's name for it is "partial 16S ribosomal RNA". It matches the Rfam family "Bacterial small subunit ribosomal RNA", at positions 28 to 507 of the family's 1533-position model. The record is from RNAcentral.